GCCCAGAUCGUUUACCGUGAAAAAAUUAGAGUGUUCAAAGCGGGCAGAUAUUUUUCCUGCCACCGAAUACAUUAGCAUGGGAUAAUGGAAUAGGACCCUGACCUCCUAUUUUCAGUUGGUUUUGUUU
Molecule: ribosomal RNA, 127 nt
Filed under: Acanthamoeba sp. A7 DEA-2009
Lineage: Eukaryota; Discosea; Longamoebia; Acanthamoebidae
Description: partial 18S ribosomal RNA
Source: RNAcentral